CCAGCUCCAAGAGUGUAUAUUAAAGUUGUUGCAGUUAAAAAGCUCGUAGUUGGAUUUCUGGUAUAAUGCGCCUGGCCCGCGGCGUUUACGCUUGUGAGUGCCGGUGCGCGUUUGCCAUCCUUCUAGAAAACGUUUCUACCCUUUACUGGGCCGGACUCGCAAUCUAGAUCUUUUACUUUGAAAAAAUUAGAGUGUUUAAAGCAGGCUUUUGCUAUGAAUACAUUAGCAUGGAAUAAUAAUCUAGGACUUCGGUUCUAUUUUGUUGGUUUCUAGAAUUGAAAUAAUGAUUGAUAGGGAUAGUUGGGGGUGCUAGUAUUGGCCGGCCAGAGGUGAAAUUCUUGGAUUCGGUCAAGACUAACUUAUGCGAAAGCAUUCACCAAGGAUGUCUUCUUUAAUCAAGAACGAAAGUUGGGGGAUCGAAGACGAUCAGAUACCGUCGUAGUCUCAACCAUAAACUAUGCCAACUAGGGAUGGGUGAACGUUGCUUUUCGACUUCAUCCGCACCUUAUGAGAAAUCAAAGUCUUUGGGUUCCGGGGGGAGUAUGGUCGCAAGGCUGAAACUUAAAGGAAUUGACGGAAGGGCACCACCAGGAGUGGAGCCUGCGGCUUAAUUCGACUCAAC
Molecule: ribosomal RNA, 622 nt
Filed under: uncultured eukaryote
Lineage: Eukaryota
Description: SSU rRNA
Rfam family: Eukaryotic small subunit ribosomal RNA
Source: RNAcentral